Molecule: ribosomal RNA, 488 nt
Filed under: uncultured bacterium
Lineage: Bacteria
Description: partial 16S ribosomal RNA
Rfam family: Bacterial small subunit ribosomal RNA
Source: RNAcentral
AACGCUGGCGGUAGGCCUAACACAUGCAAGUCGAACGGCAGCACAGUAAGAGCUUGCUCUUACGGGUGGCGAGUGGCGGACGGGUAAGGAAUACAUCGGAAUCUACUUUUUCGUGGGGGAUAACGUAGGGAAACUUACGCUAAUACCGCAUACGACCUACGGGUGAAAGCAGGGGAUCUUCGGACCUUGCGCGAUUGAAUGAGCCGAUGUCGGAUUAGCUAGUUGGCGGGGUAAAGGCCCACCAAGGCGACGAUCCGUAGCUGGUCUGAGAGGAUGAUCAGCCACACUGGAACUGAGACACGGUCCAGACUCCUACGGGAGGCAGCAGUGGGGAAUAUUGGACAAUGGGCGCAAGCCUGAUCCAGCCAUACCGCGUGGGUGAAGAAGGCCUUCGGGUUGUAAAGCCCUUUUGUUGGGAAAGAAAAGCAGCAGGUUAAUACCCCGCUGUUCUGACGGUACCCAAAGAAUAAGCACCGGCUAACUUCGUG